RNAcentral lists this transfer RNA (59 nucleotides) under Verrucomicrobiota bacterium. Its description in RNAcentral is "tRNA-Lys". It matches the Rfam family "tRNA", at positions 9 to 63 of the family's 71-position model. Rfam says of the family: Transfer RNA (tRNA) molecules are approximately 80 nucleotides in length. Their secondary structure includes four short double-helical elements and three loops (D, anti-codon, and T loops). The record is from RNAcentral. Lineage: Bacteria; Pseudomonadati; Verrucomicrobiota.
AGCUCAACCAGGUAGAGCAGUUGACUCUUAAUCAAUUGGUUGGGGGUUCGAUUCCUCCC